CCUACGGGAGGCAGCAGUGGGGAAUAUUGCACAAUGGGGGAAACUCUGAUGCAGCAACGCCGCGUGAAGGAAGACGGUUUUCGGAUUGUAAACUUCUGUUCUUAGUGAAGAAUAAUGACGGUAGAUAAGGAGCAAGCCACGGUUAAAUACGUGCCCGCAGCCGCGGUAAUACGUAGGUGGCAAGCGUUGUCCGGAAUUACUGGGUGUGAAGGGAGCGCAGGAGGGAAGCCAAGUCAGCUGUGAAAACUACGGGCUUAACUUGUAGACUGCAGUUGAAACUGGUUUUCGUGAGUGAAGUAGAGGUUGGCGGAAUUCCGAGGGUAGCGGUGAAAUGCGUAGAUAUUCGGAGGAACACCGGUGGCGAAGGCGGCCAACUGGGCUUUAACUGACGCUGAGGCUCGAAAGUGUGGGGAGCAAACAGGAUUAGAUACCCGGGUAGUC
RNAcentral lists this ribosomal RNA (441 nucleotides) under uncultured bacterium. Its description in RNAcentral is "partial 16S ribosomal RNA". It matches the Rfam family "Bacterial small subunit ribosomal RNA", at positions 338 to 795 of the family's 1533-position model. The record is from RNAcentral.